CCACAUUAGAGUUUGAUCCUGGCUCAGGACGAACGCUGGCGGCGUGCCUAAUACAUGCAAGUCGAACGAACUCUGGUAUUGAUUGGUGCUUGCAUCAUGAUUUACAUUUGAGUGAGUGGCGAACUGGUGAGUAACACGUGGGAAACCUGCCCAGAAGCGGGGGAUAACACCUGGAAACAGAUGCUAAUACCGCAUAACAACUUGGACCGCAUGGUCCGAGCUUGAAAGAUGGCUUCGGCUAUCACUUUUGGAUGGUCCCGCGGCGUAUUAGCUAGAUGGUGGGGUAACGGCUCACCAUGGCAAUGAUACGUAGCCGACCUGAGAGGGUAAUCGGCCACAUUGGGACUGAGACACGGCCCAAACUCCUACGGGAGGCAGCAGUAGGGAAUCUUCCACAAUGGACGAAAGUCGAUGGAGC
This 418-nucleotide ribosomal RNA is filed under the name Lactobacillus sp. E12. RNAcentral describes it as "bacterial SSU rRNA". It matches the Rfam family "Bacterial small subunit ribosomal RNA", at positions 1 to 392 of the family's 1533-position model. Lineage: Bacteria; Bacillati; Bacillota; Bacilli; Lactobacillales; Lactobacillaceae. The record is from RNAcentral.